UACGUAGGGGGCAAGCGUUGUCCGGAAUCAUUGGGCGUAAAGAGCGUGUAGGCGGUCCGGUAAGUCGGCUGUGAAAGUCCAGGGCUCAACCCUGGGAUGCCGGUCGAUACUGCCGGACUAGAGUUCGGAAGAGGCGAGUGGAAUUCCCGGUGUAGCGGUGAAAUGCGCAGAUAUCAGGAAGAACACCGAUGGCGAAAGCAGCUCUCUGGGACGGUACUGACGCUGAGGCGCGAAAGCGUGGGGAGCGAACAGG
Molecule: ribosomal RNA, 253 nt
Filed under: uncultured bacterium
Lineage: Bacteria
Description: partial 16S ribosomal RNA
Rfam family: Bacterial small subunit ribosomal RNA
Source: RNAcentral